Molecule: non-coding RNA, 1519 nt
Organism: Cinara cedri
Lineage: Eukaryota; Metazoa; Arthropoda; Insecta; Hemiptera; Aphididae
Source: the annotation of a GenBank genome assembly
UUAUAUUACCGGGUAAUUGAAUACUUUGUUAUUUUAGAUUUGAUAAAAUUUAUAUAAAAUAUGUAAACAAAAUAUAUAUACCAGCUUUUUUAAAUUAUUAAAAAAAAACUGCAGGGAAAAUCAAAAAACCACUUUCUUACUCACGAACUAAAUUAAAAACAAACAUACUUUGCACCAUAGGUGUAGAAGGUUAAAAGUUGGAAGGUAGAAGAGAAAUUUAAUGUAUAUCUGUACGCAGCGAUAAUCAUUGCUAACGAAAAAUGAUUCUUAACAGAGUUCGGUUAUACGUCAUGUUUUGAAAUGUCGUAAUAUAUAUGAUUUGAAAAUAAUAUAUUUCGUAAAUUUUUCACGUUUUCCUACGUUUCUUCGGUUUUAUCCAUUUAUCAUGAAAACUCCAGGUAAAAUCAAAAAAUGACUUCCCUAAAAUACCAUCUCAAUCAGAUUUCCUUUCAGAAAAUUUUGAAAACUCAAAAAAAAAAUCAUUAGCAAUAGUUUAUCUAUGCUUACAGAAAUAAAUGUAUGCAUUUUAUGUAUCAUACUUUCCUAAUAUCUAACCUACAACAGUGGCACAUCCAUCCCCAGUAUCAGUCCCUUUUUUUUUGUAUUAAAUAUGACUACAAAAAACAUACAUUUUCACUUUUUUUAAAAAUCCGGUGCUAAAGAAGCAUUUUAUAUCCCCUUUUCUGUACCUCUGUUAUAAUGGUCGUACAAAUUUGAAAUAAAAAAUAUAAACAAAUGAUGAACUAAAUAAUUAUAUAGUUAUGGGGGCCUGUUUAACGUACGUAAUCUAAUAAUGUUUUUACAGUUGUAAGAAUAUGAAUGUGAAGACCAAGAAAACCAAGAAAUGACUGUGAAAACCAAGAAAUUCAUCAUCCUAAUGAAAAAAAAACAAGUAGUAUCAGUACUUGGUUGGUGAUGACGAAGAGGGCUGCUAAAGUAGCUGCUGGACACUGCUCAAGAUUAAAAUAUAAACUAUAAUUAACUUGCACUAGCACGUGGAGCAAUACCACGUGUUCAGUGUUGGAAAAAAACUCUUGUGCGUGUGACAGCGGCUAUUGUGGUAGUGCCCUAAUACGACCAUCAUAUCAUGAAGAGCAGACUACCGGAGUAUAUAACCAUGCAUAAACACACAUUUAAUAUAGCUGCUGUACAAUCGACAAUCGUAAAUAUUACAGCCUUUCAAAACAUAUGUAACCAAACUUUGCUACGAAUCAUUUUUCGUCCUUAAUGGUUCAUCGCCGGUUACAGGUAUAAAUUUACAGGUAUAAACAAUUUUAUGUAUCCCAUCUUCCCCACUAAGUCAGCCCGCUCAAUUUUGACUUUACUAUCGUUCUUAAAUCGAAAAUAUACACAAAAUCAAAAUAAAAAAGACGUCCUAGGAUAAUGGGGUCGGAUGUAGCCACUGUUGUAAGUAAUUUAAUGUAUACCUAACCUGUACGAAACGAUUAACCAUUGCUAACGAAAAACGAAUCUGAUCUGAGUUCGGUUAAUAGUAUUGCUUUGUCAAAUUAAAAGUAAA